This 164-nucleotide ribosomal RNA is filed under the name uncultured bacterium. RNAcentral's name for it is "partial 16S rRNA". It matches the Rfam family "Bacterial small subunit ribosomal RNA", at positions 355 to 511 of the family's 1533-position model. The record is from RNAcentral.
UAGGGAAUCUUCCAUAACGGACGCAAGUCUGAUGGAGCAACGCCGCGUGAGUGAAGAAGGUCUUCGGAUCGUAAAACUCUGUUGUUAGAGAAGAACACGAGUGAGAGUAACUGUUCAUUCGAUGACGGUAUCUAACCAGCAAGUCACGGCUAACUACGUGCUAG